AAUACUUUUAGUGAACCUUGGCAUCUUCCGCACACUCCUCCUGAGCAAAUAAAAGAGAUUGUAUAUGAAGGUGCUUACAAUACAUUUGUGGAUGAGAUCAAUUCUAUAACUGCUUAUCAAUGGUGGGAAGGUGCAUUGUAUAGCAUUCUUUCCGUUCUGUCAUAUCCCCUUGCAUGGUCAUGGCAACAAUGGCGCCGGAGAAUCAAAUUGCAAAGAUUGCGUGAGUUUGUUCGAUCAGAGUAUGAUCAUGCUUGCUUACGUUCUUGUCGUUC
RNAcentral lists this unclassified non-coding RNA (272 nucleotides) under Hevea brasiliensis (rubber tree). The record is from RNAcentral. Lineage: Eukaryota; Viridiplantae; Streptophyta; Magnoliopsida; Malpighiales; Euphorbiaceae.